AACGCUAGCUACAGGCUUAACACAUGCAAGUCGAGGGGCAGCAUCAUCAAAGCUUGCUUUGAUGGAUGGCGACCGGCGCACGGGUGAGUAACACGUAUCCUACCUGCCGACAACACUGGGAUAGCCUUUCGAAAGAAAGAUUAAUACCGGAUGGCAUAGUUUUCCCGCAUGGGAUAAUUAUUAAAGAAUUUCGGUUGUCGAUGGGGAUGCGUUCCAUUAGGCAGUUGGCGGGGUAACGGCCCACCUAGCCAACGAUGUUUAGGGGUUCUGAGAGGAAGGUCCCCCACACUGGAACUGAGACACGGUCCAGACUCCUACGGGAGGCAGCAGUGAGGAAUAUUGGUCAAUGGUCGAGAGACUGAACCAGCCAAGUAGCGUGCAGGAUGACGGCCCUCCGGGUUGUAAACUGCUUUUAGUUGGGAAUAAAGUUCGGGACGUGUCCCGUUUUGUAUGUACCAUCAGAAAAAGGACCGGCUAAUUCCGUGCCAGCAGCCGCGGUAAUACGGAAGGUCCAGGCGUUAUCCGGAUUUAUUGGGUUUAAAGGGAGCGUAGGCGGAUUAUUAAGUCAGCUGUGAAAGUUUGCGGCUCAACCGUAAAAUUGCAGUUGAUACUGAUAGUCUUGAGUGCACACAGGGAUGCUGGAAUUCGUGGUGUAGCGGUGAAAUGCUUAGAUAUCACGAAGAACUCCGAUUG
This 693-nucleotide ribosomal RNA is filed under the name uncultured Bacteroides sp. RNAcentral describes it as "bacterial SSU rRNA". It matches the Rfam family "Bacterial small subunit ribosomal RNA", at positions 32 to 715 of the family's 1533-position model. The record is from RNAcentral. Lineage: Bacteria; Pseudomonadati; Bacteroidota; Bacteroidia; Bacteroidales; Bacteroidaceae.